UUGCACGCUGGCGGCAGGCCUAACCCAUGCCAGUCGAGCGGAUGAAGGGAGCUUGCUCCUGGAUUCAGCGGCGGACGGGUGAGUAAUGCCUAGGAAUCUGCCUGGUAGUGGGGGAUAACGUCCGGAAACGGGCGCUAAUACCGCAUACGUCCUGAGGGAGAAAGUGGGGGAUCUUCGGACCUCACGCUAUCAGAUGAGCCUAGGUCGGAUUAGCUAGUUGGUGGGGUAAAGGCCUACCAAGGCGACGAUCCGUAACUGGUCUGAGAGGAUGAUCAGUCACACUGGAACUGAAACACGGUCCAGACUCCUACGGGAGGCAGCAGUGGGGAAUAUUGGACAAUGGGCGAAAGCCUGAUCCAGCCAUGCCGCGUGUGUGAAGAAGGUCUUCGGAUUGUAAAGCACUUUAAGUUGGGAGGAAGGGCAGUAAGUUAAUACCUUGCUGUUUUGACGUUACCAACAGAAUAAGCACCGGCUAACUUCGUG
This 483-nucleotide ribosomal RNA is filed under the name uncultured bacterium. RNAcentral's name for it is "partial 16S ribosomal RNA". It matches the Rfam family "Bacterial small subunit ribosomal RNA", at positions 30 to 507 of the family's 1533-position model. The record is from RNAcentral.